RNAcentral lists this ribosomal RNA (425 nucleotides) under uncultured bacterium. Its description in RNAcentral is "partial 16S ribosomal RNA". It matches the Rfam family "Bacterial small subunit ribosomal RNA", at positions 354 to 796 of the family's 1533-position model. The record is from RNAcentral.
GUGGGGAAUAUUGGACAAUGGGCGCAAGCCUGAUCCAGCCAUGCCGCGUGAGUGAUGAAGGCCCUAGGGUUGUAAAGCUCUUUCAGUGGGGACGAUAAUGACGGUACCCACAGAAGAAGCCCCGGCUAACUUCGUGACAGCAGCCGCGGUAAUACGAAGGGGGCUAGCGUUGUUCGGAUUUACUGGGCGUAAAGCGCACGUAGGCGGAUCGUUAAGUCGAGGGUGAAAUCCUGGAGCUAAACUCCAGAACUGCCUUCGAUACUGGCGAUCUUGAGUCCGGAAGAGGUGAGUGGAACUCCUAGUGUAGAGGUGGAAUUCGUAGAUAUUAGGAAGAACACCAGUGGCGAAGGCGGCUCACUGGUCCGGUACUGACGCUGAGGUGCGAAAGCGUGGGGAGCAAACAGGAUUAGAAACCCGGGUAGUCC